Molecule: long non-coding RNA, 927 nt
Filed under: Carica papaya (papaya)
Lineage: Eukaryota; Viridiplantae; Streptophyta; Magnoliopsida; Brassicales; Caricaceae
Description: long non-coding RNA (CPAP_LNC008089)
Source: RNAcentral
UCUUCAAUCCUCUCAAACCUUUAGGUAACCAGCCACUUCCUCUUCCAUCUCCAUCAAAUGAAUUUAGGAAUUUUUUCUAUUACAACCUUUUAGACUUUCAUUGAAUAUUGAUUAUUUAUUUACUUGUUCAUGCAUAUAUUUUUUCUAUAUAAAUCACCUAUUUUUAUUUAUGUAAUCAACAAGUGAAUGAAAUAUUUUGAAUGCAUUAUCAUUAUCUCCAUCAAAUUUCCAUCUCUCUUUCAAUAUUUAUCUUUUAUCUCUAAUUUUCUAUCUUUUACUUUUGCUAUUCUUACUCUCUCUCUCUCUCUCUCUCAAAUCCUUUUAUUUUUCCUCUCACUCUCCCUCUCUUUAUAUCAAACCCGAACACAUACUUUCUUAAAACAGAACCAUGUACCCGGACCAUGACAACUUAGUAUCAGAGCAACGAUCCAGAUUCAACUUGAUGACCGAUCGCAUCGUGAAACUUUUCGAUUGGAUAUAGCAACAACUUGAUCUAAUGAUCAAGAUGUUGGGCAGCGAUGUUCCCUAUCCAGAGGCUGUAAAAACAAUGGCUGUUGCUAUGGUUGUAUGAGUGGUGUAGAGUGGCACUCUUCCUUUCCCUCUACGACGUGACGAAGAAGAUGGAAAAAGAAGUGAAAGGACUGUUAUGGUAAAGGACCUUAAAGUCGGUUUAGUGACUAAACUGGUUGCAAAAAUCCUAAAGCCACUCAAUUCAAAUUAGACUAGUUCAAAGAAAAUAUAUAAGCAGAUUGAACCCGGUUCAAACUAGAUUGGAUCAUUGAACCGAAUCAGUUCAUACUCAUUUGAAGAAGAAAAAGAAGAACCAGAAGAAGAGGAUGACGAAGAAGAUCCAUCUAAGAAGAAGAAGACCCAGAAAAAGAUGACGAAAAAGAAAAAGAGGAAGAAGAAGAUGUAUCUAAAGAAAUU